UACGCAGGGGGCAAGCGUUGUCCGGAAUCAUUGGGCGUAAAGAGCGCGUAGGCGGUCCGGUAAGUCCGCUCUGAAAGUCCGGGGCUCAACCCCGGGAGGCGGGCGGAUACUGUCGGGCUAGAGUCCGGAAGAGGCGAGUGGAAUUCCUGGUGUAGCGGUGAAAUGCGCAGAUAUCAGGAGGAACACCAAUGGCGAAGGCAGCUCGCUGGGACGGUACUGACGCUGAGGCGCGAAAGCGUGGGGAGCAAACAGG
RNAcentral lists this ribosomal RNA (253 nucleotides) under uncultured bacterium. Its description in RNAcentral is "partial 16S ribosomal RNA". It matches the Rfam family "Bacterial small subunit ribosomal RNA", at positions 524 to 776 of the family's 1533-position model. The record is from RNAcentral.